UUACGUUUGAGUCAAUGCAGGGCUCUGGGCAG
This 32-nucleotide non-coding RNA is filed under the name Mus musculus (house mouse). Lineage: Eukaryota; Metazoa; Chordata; Mammalia; Rodentia; Muridae. The record is from RNAcentral.